GGGCUCACACAAGCGGUGGAGCAUGUGGCUUAAUUCGAGGCUACGCGAAGAACCUUAUCCUGGACUUGACAUGUGCGAAAGCGUUAGGAAGUAGUCUGCGGAAACGUAAGACCAACGGUAUCCAGUCCGGAACCUAAUACAGGUGCUGCAUGGCUGUCGUCAGCUCGUGUCGUGAGAUGUUGGGUUAAGUCCCGUAACGAGCGAAACCCUUGUUUCCAGUUGCCAGCGAGUAAAGUCGGGGACUCUGGAAAGACUGCCGGUGUUAAACCGGAGGAAGGCGGGGAUGACGUCAAGUCCUCAUGGCCUUUAUGUCCAGGGCUGCACACGUGCUACAAUGGCGCGUACAAAGGGAUGCCAACUCGCGAGAGGGAGCCAAUCCCAAAAAGCGCGCCCCAGUUCAGAUUGCAGGCUGCAACUCGCCUGCAUGAAGUUGGAAUCGCUAGUAAUCGCAGGUCAGCAACACUGCGGUGAAUGUGUUCCUGAGCCUU
RNAcentral lists this ribosomal RNA (488 nucleotides) under uncultured bacterium. RNAcentral's name for it is "bacterial SSU rRNA". It matches the Rfam family "Bacterial small subunit ribosomal RNA", at positions 917 to 1382 of the family's 1533-position model. The record is from RNAcentral.